GCCGUAGCCGGGCUGGCCGUAGGGGCCCGGCUGCUGGGGCUGGCCGUACGGGCCUGACUGCUGCGGCGGGCCGUACGGACCCGGCUGCUGCGGCU
This 95-nucleotide transfer RNA is filed under the name Streptomyces sp. Go-475. RNAcentral's name for it is "tRNA-Pro". The record is from RNAcentral. Lineage: Bacteria; Bacillati; Actinomycetota; Actinomycetes; Kitasatosporales; Streptomycetaceae.